CUCCGGAGGAGUAAGCAGAUCCUGCUCCUCGUGUGGCAUCCGUCGCGUUGCUCAUGUUAUCACAAACUCAAUAAAUAAUCUUAUUCGGUAGAUCACAUUCGUGAAAAGGGAAGGGGAUUGUAGUUACGACAUAAGGAACACAUAUCCGAAAUCAUCUGUGAAACGAUAAUUCCAUAACGAUCAACCGCCUCUCGAUGGCAUCCGUAAAAUUAACGAAGGCAUGAUUUCAACUUCAUCAUUUGGAACUCUCAAUUUAAAAGCUUCCUUGUGAUCAGCAACCCUCUAUCAAGGCAAUCAUGAUAGGAAAUACAAGCCCGGGAAUAUCGUAUUAAUUGGGAGAUAUAUACUCCGUAUUCAGACGCAGACUUAAAUCAGAUAAAUGGUUAAAUAUUCAAUAUUUACCAUAAACUUUGUGAAUUUAGUCUAACUUAAUAAGUGCAAGACACAAAAAGGGAAAUUAACUGCCUGGGUAGGCUGACUUUCGUCUGUACCGGUAAAGAAAAUAUCCCUGACAGUUUUAACAUUUUUUUAUUCGAGCGUCACUGAUGAGUCUUUUGUAGACGAAACGCGCGUAAAUAUAAAAUUUUAAUCCUGGUAUCUAUGAUGAGUUUAUUUACAUGUAUACACAAUCUAUCUGAAAAAUAUGCCAGCUUUUCAUAGACAUAGAAUCUGAUUUAAAAAACCUGGUCCACAGCCAGACCAACAUUGGUAAAAGCAAGCAAUCGAUCAAAAUAUAAUUGUUUCUAAAUGAUCACAUGUCAGUCUUUGGUACGCCGGAAGACAGACCAAACUUCAAAUUAAGAUGAGCCAAGUUACGACUAUAACAGCGACCUGUCUGUCUAGCAUAUAGAAUUAUCCUGACAGUUACAUGUAUACUCCACAUAUCUGGAUAUUGUGCCAGCUUUUCGUUGAAAAAAUAAGCUGGUCAAAAUGGUGCCACCACAAGACCAACUUCUGUAUAAGCAAGUAAUCGAUCAAAUAAAAUUGUUCCAACAUAAUCACAUGUCAGUAUUUGGUAAACCCGGAAGACGGAUCCAACUUCGAAUUAUGAUGAGUUAAGUUACGAUUUCAAUGUGUUAAAAUAGAAACAUCACUAGAAAAGAUGACUGCUACGGAAACCUUUCACAAGCAGGAAAUUGAGGACAUUAAACAGCAGCUUCAUCAACAACAGCAGACAAAACCCAC
This 1185-nucleotide long non-coding RNA is filed under the name Mytilus galloprovincialis (Mediterranean mussel). The record is from RNAcentral. Lineage: Eukaryota; Metazoa; Mollusca; Bivalvia; Mytilida; Mytilidae.